Molecule: ribosomal RNA, 508 nt
Filed under: uncultured bacterium
Lineage: Bacteria
Description: partial 16S ribosomal RNA
Rfam family: Bacterial small subunit ribosomal RNA
Source: RNAcentral
GACGAACGCUGGCGGCGUGCCUAAUACAUGCAAGUCGAACGCUUCUUUCCUCCCGAGUGCUUGCACUCAAUUGGAAAGAGGAGUGGAGGACGGGUGAGUAACACGUGGGUAACCUACCCAUCAGAGGGGGAUAACACUUGGAAACAGGUGCUAAUACCGCAUAACAGUUUAUGCCGCAUGGCAUCAGAGUGAAAGGCGCUUUCGGGUGUCGCUGAUGGAUGGACCCGCGGUGCAUUAGCUAGUUGGUGAGGUAACGGCUCACCAAGGCUACGAUGCAUAGCCGACCUGAGAGGGUGAUCGGCCACACUGGGACUGAGACACGGCCCAGACUCCUACGGGAGGCAGCAGUAGGGAAUCUUCGGCAAUGGACGAAAGUCUGACCGAGCAACGCCGCGUGAGUGAAGAAGGUUUUCGGAUCGUAAAACUCUGUUGUUAGAGAAGAACAAGGACGUUAGUAACUGAACGUCCCCUGACGGUAUCUAACCAGAAAGCCACGGCUAACUACGUG